CCUACGGGAGACAGCAGUGAGGAAUAUUGGUCAAUGGGCGGGAGCCUGAACCAGCCAAGUCGCGUGAGGGACGACGGUCCUAUGGAUUGUAAACCUCUUUUGUCGGGGAACAAAGGCGCCCACGGGUGGGCGGAUGAGUGUACCCGAAGAAAAAGCAUCGGCUAACUCCGUGCCAGCAGCCGCGGUAAUACGGAGGAUGCGAGCGUUAUCCGGAUUUAUUGGGUUUAAAGGGUGCGUAGGCGGUCCGUUAAGUCAGCGGUAAAAUUGCGGGGCUCAACCCCGUCGAGCCGUUGAAACUGGCAGACUUGAGUUGGCGAGAAGUACGCGGAAUGCGCGGUGUAGCGGUGAAAUGCAUAGAUAUCGCGCAGAACUCCGAUUGCGAAGGCAGCGUACCGGCGCCAGACUGACGCUGAGGCACGAAAGCGUGGGGAUCGAACAGGAUUAGAUACCCUAGUAGUC
Molecule: ribosomal RNA, 459 nt
Filed under: uncultured bacterium
Lineage: Bacteria
Description: partial 16S ribosomal RNA
Rfam family: Bacterial small subunit ribosomal RNA
Source: RNAcentral